Molecule: long non-coding RNA, 792 nt
Organism: Saccoglossus kowalevskii
Lineage: Eukaryota; Metazoa; Hemichordata; Enteropneusta; Harrimaniidae
Source: RefSeq, a predicted model, not a curated record
AAUCACAGUCCCUCUAUCACCGGUCUCGAAACGCCUAUUGUCUUAGGGGGGGAUUAGCAAUAAACAUCCAGUGAGUGCGUGUAGCGGUUGUUGGCGUCGCAUAGUCACUUGACAGUAUAGCGUCGCUUUCCAUUUUGAAAACGUAUGAUCAAGUGCUCCGUAUUUUAUUCCUUGCUCUUAGCUGUAACAUUUCAUAUAUUUAACAACUUUUUGUUAUUACCGAAGCGAAAUACCAUUAGUUAACAGACGAGAACGUGCAGCUGUUGAAGCCAUACAAGCUCUUAACAACCAUGCCUCGUAAGAAGAACAGUUUUCGGAGGCCCAAGAGUUACUACAAGCAAUUUGAAAAAAAAGUCCAGUGAAUGUGAUGACUUUUCACAAUCGCAUGUUACCAUUGCUAAUGAUGCUACAAUGCAACAGAUAAGAAUUAAAUGUGGAAGUUAUUAUAUUCUCAAAGUGCUGGAAAUGCUAUGUGUCUUAGUAAACAAACGGUUGAUGAAUUGAAAAUGACCGUGCAUUCUUUUGUAGAAGUAUCUAAAUAUCUACUAAACCAUGGAGUGGAUUUUAUAUUGAGUGAGAGGUUCCGUCAAGACCCACUACAAGCCCACUUCAGUAAGCAUCGGCACAGAGGAGGAGCAAAUAACAACCCAACAGUUAUGGCUUUUGGGUAUCAAGAGAAUGUCAUCAGACUUCAAAAAUCUUAUCAUAUGCAGUGCAUCACAGGCAAUACAGGGAGACACAAGAGACACAAGAGAAGGCCCUUACAGCAUAUAGUAGAUGAUACUUCUCUUC